GCCCACGGAACCACACUCGGCCAGGACUAGUCGCGCUCCCCGCUCGCGUCACAUGCUCUUACAAUCAGGACAAGGAUGCAUGCGAUGUCUAAGUGGAUUCUUCUCCUCCCGUGUCCAGCCUUAUCUUACAUAUUUGAUGAAGAAAGCACUCAAAUUCCCAUUCAUACGGCACCUACCUGCCUUCUGUGUCCUUCCUGCUAUGUGACCACUCUGCUCUGGAGGGAACUCGCGGCAGCCCAGCCCACGAAUGAGCUCUCGGUGGCGUUCAACUGCAGUUAGAGGUCGUGUCCCCACUUUUUUUUUUGGUGGGUGGGAGGGGGGGCAGAGAAGGUGACAGACACAUCAUAAAGCAUUGAAAACAUACAUAAAUUAAUAUUAGAAAACCAGUGGAGUUUACUAAUUUUGUUUCCUCCUCUACAUCUUUGUGUUACAAGUGCUACUUCAUUGUCUUGACAUCGGGCUCUGAGCUAGUGGUACUGACUUUGAAAAGCUUUCAUGCACUUCAUCUUUGAAUUGCACAUGCUUUUCUCUCAUUUUUAAGGCUUUCUUGCACUUUGGAGGAAACAUGUUCUGACAUGCUGGAGUUUGGUGAUGGUAAAUAUUUCCUUUGACUACAAAGUGCGUGUGUGAAAAAAACUUUUUUUUUUCCUGUCAUGGAGAUAUGGUUCUCACUCACUCCUGUCUCCGUUGUAGUUAAUAACCUGUAAACGAGCUGAAUCUGAAGGUCUGAGUGAAAUAGCACUUUUGGAACUGUACUUUUUGUCAUAACACGCUGAGGAAAGUGCAGAAGCUCUGUAUAUGCAUGUAUGAGAGGGAUUCAUGCCACGCAUAUGACAAUUUGCAUACUAGACUCUGGUGACAAAGAGGGACCGCAGGUGAAUCCCCAGCGAUCUGCUUUGUGGAGAGGAUUUUUUCCAGCCCCUAAUCACAGAGAAGUAUCCAGCUCUCCAUCUGCUUCCCAGAGUUGGCGGUUCUGAUUUGUUUCAAGUGAAAAUAACCAAGAAUAGAAAAUGGCACGUAAUAAAGAGUCCCAAGCCAAGCA
This 1042-nucleotide long non-coding RNA is filed under the name Manacus vitellinus (golden-collared manakin). RNAcentral describes it as "lncRNA (ENSMVIG00005004605.1)". Lineage: Eukaryota; Metazoa; Chordata; Aves; Passeriformes; Pipridae. The record is from RNAcentral.